This is a non-coding RNA of Rattus norvegicus (Norway rat), 62 nucleotides long. NCBI's taxonomy places the organism in Eukaryota, Metazoa, Chordata, Mammalia, Rodentia, Muridae. The record is from Rfam.
UAGGGAGGUCAGGGCCAGGAGCCCCCCCCCUGAGCCCAGGGUAACGCUUAAGUUGGGGGGCA